RNAcentral lists this ribosomal RNA (508 nucleotides) under uncultured bacterium. RNAcentral's name for it is "partial 16S ribosomal RNA". It matches the Rfam family "Bacterial small subunit ribosomal RNA", at positions 28 to 507 of the family's 1533-position model. The record is from RNAcentral.
GACGAACGCUGGCGGCGUGCCUAAUACAUGCGAGUCGAACGCUUCUUUCCUCCCGAGUGCUUGCACUCAAUUGGAAAGAGGAGUGGCGGACGGGUGAGUAACACGUGGGUAACCUACCCAUCAGAGGGGGAUGACACUUGGAAACAGGUGCUAAUACCGCAUAACAGUUUAUGCCGCAUGGCAUAAGAGUGAAAGGCGCUUUCGGGUGUCGCUGAUGGAUGGACCCGCGGUGCAUUAGCUAGUUGGUGAGGUAACGGCUCACCAAGGCCACGAUGCAUAGCCGACCUGAGAGGGUGAUCGGCCACACUGGGACUGAGACACGGCCCAGACUCCUACGGGAGGCAGCAGUAGGGAAUCUUCGGCAAUGGACGAAAGUCUGACCGAGCAACGCCGCGUGAGUGAAGAAGGUUUUCGGAUCGUAAAACUCUGUUGUUAGAGAAGAACAAGGACGUUAGUAACUGAACGUCCCCUGACGGUAUCUAACCAGAAAGCCACGGCUAACUACGUG